AUGUGCAGGGAGCCAGCAGGGCAGUUACAGCUAACUGAGGCCGGAGGUGUGCAGCGGUUCAGGCAGAGCAGCUACUGGGGAGAUGAGGCAGGAGAAUGUGCAGGGAUCCGGGCAAACACAGCUACAGGGGAGCUGGCGCAGGAGGAUGUGCAGCGAGCCAUCAGGGCAGCUACAGAGGAGCUGAGGCUGGAGGAUGUGCAGGGAGCCAACAGGGCAGCUCACAGGGGAGCUGAGGCAGGAGCCACAACAACAGCCCCAUCUGUCUAUCCACUGACUCCUGCAUGUGGAGGCCCAACUGGCUCCACAGUGACCCUGGGAUGCCUGGUCAAGGGCUAUUUCCCUGAGCCGGCGACCGUAACCUGGAACUCUGGAAGCCUGACCAGCGGCGUGCACAUCUUCCCAUCAGUCCUGGAUUCUGGGCUCUACUCCCUCAGCAGCUCAGUGACUGUGCCCUCCAGCAUGUGGCCCAGCCAGGCCAUCACCUGCAAUGUCGCCCACCCGGCCAGCAGCACCAAGGUGGACAAGAAAAUUGGCCCAGAAAUAUCAUCUGUCUUCAUCUUCCCACCAAAGCUCAAGGAUGUACUCACGAUCUCUCUGGAACCCAAGAUCACAUGUGUUGUGGUGGACAUUAGUCAGGAUGAUCCCGCGGUCCAGUUCAGCUGGUUUGUAGAUGGCAAGGAAGUGCACGAUGUUCAGAAACAGCCCCGGGAGCCACAGUUCAACAGCACCUUCCGAGAAGUCAGUGUCCUCCCCAUCUUACACCAGGACUGGCUAAAUGGCAAGGAGUUCAAAUGCAGGGUCAACAGGGAAGACUUCCCUGCCCCCAUCGAAAAAACCAUCUCCAAAACUAUGGGGCAACUUCGCGUUCCACAGGUAUACACCAUGCCCCCACCCAAGGAGCAGCUGACCAAGAAUGAAGUCAGUCUCACCUGCAUGAUAACGGGUUUCUACCCUGCAGACAUUGAUGUAGAAUGGAAGAGGAAUGGACAACCAGAGAAGAACUACAAGAACACCCCACCCGUCUUGGACACAAAUGAGUCUUUCUUCCUCUACAGCAAGUUCGAUGUGAAAAAGAGUGAUUGGGAGAGUGGAGAUACUUUCGUCUGCUCUGUGGUACACGAGGCCCUGCACAACCACCACACAGAGAAGAAUCUCUCCUACACUCCUGAGCUGGAACUGGACGACAACUGUGCUGAGGCCCUGGACGGGGAGCUGGACGGGCUCUGGACGACCAUCACCAUCUUCAUCACCCUCUUCCUGCUCAGCGUGUGCUACAGUGCCACGGUCACACUCUUCAAGGUAAAGUGGAUCUUCUCCUCAGUGAUGGGACUGAAGCAGACACUGGCUCCUGACUACAAGAACAUGAUCGGACAAGGGCCUUAG
Molecule: non-coding RNA, 1383 nt
Organism: Microtus oregoni (creeping vole)
Lineage: Eukaryota; Metazoa; Chordata; Mammalia; Rodentia; Cricetidae
Source: the annotation of a RefSeq genome assembly